GAGUCCCUCUACUAAAUGUAGCAACACUAUAAAAAGAUGUUAUGAGAAGCUUCUAGACGCGGCGGGAGAACGGAAAAAGUAUGUAUAAAAUUUGAUCUUCACAUGGACUCAAAGAAAACUAUCUCAGUAUACAUAGUUAGUAAAAAACCUUU
This is a long non-coding RNA of Eurytemora carolleeae, 152 nucleotides long. RefSeq lists it as uncharacterized. The transcript is spliced from 2 exons. The record is from RefSeq and is a predicted model, not a curated record. NCBI's taxonomy places the organism in Eukaryota, Metazoa, Arthropoda, Copepoda, Calanoida, Temoridae.